GCGUGUAUGGAAUGAACUGUCAGAAGAAGUGGUAGAGCUAUUUCCAGACUGUAUAUAGUGCAGAAACAGAGAGAGUUUCCAGCCAUGGAGAAGAACAAUACUACCGGUCAUUAAUAUAAGUUAGUCACAGACAUCAAAUAGAGGAUUCAGAAGGAACAUCUUUAUCUAGAGAAUGGUGAGAAUGUGGAACUCUAUCACAAGAGGGUGGCAUACAUCAUGACUACAGCUAGAUUAUUUGCAGCAGCGAUAUUCAGGAAAUGCAGAAAAAAAAUUGGAGAACAGUUAAUGAACUGAUUUACUGUCAACCACAGUGAUGCUAAUGAAAUGAUUUUUGCGACACACACA
This is a non-coding RNA of Chiloscyllium plagiosum (whitespotted bambooshark), 345 nucleotides long. The record is from RefSeq and is a predicted model, not a curated record. Lineage: Eukaryota; Metazoa; Chordata; Chondrichthyes; Orectolobiformes; Hemiscylliidae.